Molecule: ribosomal RNA, 253 nt
Filed under: [Lactobacillus] rogosae
Lineage: Bacteria; Bacillati; Bacillota; Clostridia; Lachnospirales; Lachnospiraceae
Description: Lactobacillus rogosae partial 16S ribosomal RNA
Rfam family: Bacterial small subunit ribosomal RNA
Source: RNAcentral
UACGUAUGGAGCAAGCGUUAUCCGGAUUUACUGGGUGUAAAGGGAGUGUAGGUGGCAUCAUAAGUCAGAAGUGAAAGCCCGGGGCUCAACCCCGGGACUGCUUUUGAAACUGUGGAGCUGGAGUGCAGGAGAGGCAAGUGGAAUUCCUAGUGUAGCGGUGAAAUGCGUAGAUAUUAGGAGGAACACCAGUGGCGAAGGCGGCUUGCUGGACUGUAACUGACACUGAGGCUCGAAAGCGUGGGGAGCAAACAGG